UACGUAGGUGGCAAGCGUUGUCCGGAUUUACUGGGCGUAAAGGAUGCGUAGGCGGCCAUUUAAGUCAGAUGUGAAAUACCCGAGCUUAACUUGGGUGCUGCAUUUGAAACUGGGUGUCUAGAGUGCAGGAGAGGUAAGUGGAAUUCCUAGUGUAGCGGUGAAAUGCGUAGAGAUUAGGAAGAACACCAGUGGCGAAGGCGACUCACUGGACUGUAACUGACGCUGAGGCAUGAAAGCGUGGGGAGCAAACAGG
This 253-nucleotide ribosomal RNA is filed under the name uncultured bacterium. RNAcentral describes it as "partial 16S ribosomal RNA". It matches the Rfam family "Bacterial small subunit ribosomal RNA", at positions 524 to 776 of the family's 1533-position model. The record is from RNAcentral.